Molecule: ribosomal RNA, 207 nt
Filed under: uncultured delta proteobacterium
Lineage: Bacteria; Deltaproteobacteria
Description: partial 16S ribosomal RNA
Rfam family: Bacterial small subunit ribosomal RNA
Source: RNAcentral
CGUGUAGGCUGCUCGGAAAGUCGGAUGUGAAAGCCCUGGGCUCAACCUAGGAAGUGCAUUCGAAACUUCCGAGCUGGAGUGCUGGAGAGGAAGGCGGAAUUCUCGGUGUAGAGGUGAAAUUCGUAGAUAUCGAGAGGAACACCGGUGGCGAAGGCGGCCUUCUGGACAGUAACUGACGCUGAGACGCGAAAGCGUGGGGAGCAAACA